GUACACUCCUACGGGAGGCAGCAGUGGGGAAUUUUGGACAAUGGGCGAAAGCCUGAUCCAGCAAUGCCGCGUGAGUGAAGAAGGCCUUCGGGUUGUAAAGCUCUUUUGUCAGGGAAGAAACGGUGAAAGCUAAUAUCUUUUGCUAAUGACGGUACCUGAAGAAUAAGCACCGGCUAACUACGUGCCAGCAGCCGCGGUAAUACGUAGGGUGCAAGCGUUAAUCGGAAUUACUGGGCGUAAAGCGUGCGCAGGCGGUUUUGUAAGUCUGAUGUGAAAUCCCCGGGCUCAACCUGGGAAUUGCAUUGGAGACUGCAAGGCUAGAAUCUGGCAGAGGGGGGUAGAAUUCCACGUGUAGCAGUGAAAUGCGUAGAUAUGUGGAGGAACACCGAUGGCGAAGGCAGCCCCCUGGGUCAAGAUUGACGCUCAUGCACGAAAGCGUGGGGAGCAAACAGGAUUAGAAACCCCGGUAGUCCCAUGAU
Molecule: ribosomal RNA, 479 nt
Filed under: uncultured organism
Description: partial 16S ribosomal RNA
Rfam family: Bacterial small subunit ribosomal RNA
Source: RNAcentral